This 478-nucleotide ribosomal RNA is filed under the name uncultured bacterium. RNAcentral's name for it is "partial 16S ribosomal RNA". It matches the Rfam family "Bacterial small subunit ribosomal RNA", at positions 28 to 523 of the family's 1533-position model. The record is from RNAcentral.
GACGAACGCCGGCGGCGUGCUUAACACAUGCAAGUCGAACGGUAAGGCCCUUCGGGGUACACGAGUGGCGAACGGGUGAGUAACACGUGGGUGAUCUGCCCUGCACUUCGGGAUAAGCCUGGGAAACUGGGUCUAAUACCGGAUAGGACCACUGCCUGCAUGGGUGGUGGUGGAAAGCUUUUGCGGUGUGGGAUGGGCCCACGGCCUAUCAGCUUGUUGGUGGGGUGAGGGCCUACCAAGGCGACGACGGGUAGCCGGCCUGAGAGGGUGACCGGCCACACUGGGACUGAGAUACGGCCCAGACUCCUACGGGAGGCAGCAGUGGGGAAUAUUGCACAAUGGGCGCAAGCCUGAUGCAGCGACGCCGCGUGAGGGAUGACGGCCUUCGGGUUGUAAACCUCUUUCAGCACCGACGAAGCGCAAGUGACGGUAGGUGCAGAAGGAGGACCGGCCAACUACGUGCCAGCAGCCGCAGUAA